UACGAAGGGGGCUAGCGUUGUUCGGAAUUACUGGGCGUAAAGCGCAUGUAGGCGGAUAUUUAAGUCAGGGGUGAAAUCCCGCAGCUCAACUCUGGAACUGCCUUUGAUACUGGGUAUCUUGAGUAUGGAAGAGGUGAGUGGAAUUCCGAGUGUAGAGGUGAAAUUCGUAGAUAUUCGGAGGAACACCAGUGGCGAAGGCGGCUCACUGGUCCAUUGCUGACGCUGAGGUGCGAAAGCGUGGGGAGCAAACAGG
Molecule: ribosomal RNA, 253 nt
Filed under: uncultured bacterium
Lineage: Bacteria
Description: partial 16S ribosomal RNA
Rfam family: Bacterial small subunit ribosomal RNA
Source: RNAcentral